AACGAACGCUGGCGGCAUGCCUAACACAUGCAAGUCGAACGAGACCUUCGGGUCUAGUGGCGCACGGGUGCGUAACGCGUGGUAACCUGCCCUUAGGUUCGGAAUAACUCCCCGAAAGGGGUGCUAAUACCGGAUAAUGUCUUCGGACCAAAGAUUUAUCGCCUUUGGAUGGGCCCGCGUUGGAUUAGCUAGUUGGUAGGGUAAAAGCCUACCAAGGCGACGAUCCAUAGCUGGUCUGAGAGGAUGAUCAGCCACACUGGGACUGAGACACGGCCCAGACUCCUACGGGAGGCAGCAGUGGGGAAUAUUGGACAAUGGGCGAAAGCCUGAUACAGCAAUGCCGCGUGAGUGAUGAAGGCCUUAGGGUUGUAAAGCUCUUUUACCCGGGAUGAUAAUGACAGUACCGGGAGAAUAAGCUCCGGCUAACUCCGUG
RNAcentral lists this ribosomal RNA (433 nucleotides) under uncultured bacterium. RNAcentral's name for it is "partial 16S ribosomal RNA". It matches the Rfam family "Bacterial small subunit ribosomal RNA", at positions 29 to 507 of the family's 1533-position model. The record is from RNAcentral.